CCUACGGGAGGCAGCAGUGAGGAAUAUUGGUCAAUGGACGAAAGUCUGAACCAGCCAUGCCGCGUGCAGGAUGACGGCUCUAUGAGUUGUAAACUGCUUUUGUAUUAGGGUAAACACACCUACGUGUAGGGGCUUGAACGUAUAAUACGAAUAAGGAUCGGCUAACUCCGUGCCAGCAGCCGCGGUAAUACGUAGGUGGCAAGCGUUGUCCGGAUUUACUGGGUGUAAAGGGCGUGUAGCUGGGUUGAAAAGUCAGUUGUGAAAUCUUGCGGCUUAACCGCAGAAGUGCAUUUGAAACUGGCGAUCUUGAGUACUGGUGAGGCAGACGGAAUUCGUGGUGUAGCGGUGAAAUGCGUAGAUAUUAGGAGGAACACCAGUUGCGAAGGCGGUCUGCUAGACAGCAACUGACGGUGAGGCGCGAAAGCGUGGGUAUCAAACAGGAUUAGAUACCCUUGUAGUC
Molecule: ribosomal RNA, 460 nt
Filed under: uncultured bacterium
Lineage: Bacteria
Description: partial 16S ribosomal RNA
Rfam family: Bacterial small subunit ribosomal RNA
Source: RNAcentral